RNAcentral lists this ribosomal RNA (253 nucleotides) under uncultured bacterium. RNAcentral's name for it is "partial 16S ribosomal RNA". It matches the Rfam family "Bacterial small subunit ribosomal RNA", at positions 524 to 776 of the family's 1533-position model. The record is from RNAcentral.
UACGGAGGGUGCAAGCGUUAUCCGGAUUCACUGGGUUUAAAGGGCGCGUAGGCGGGUGCUCAAGUCCGGGGUGAAAUCCUCCAGCUCAACUGGAGAACUGCCUCGGAUACUGGGCGUCUCGAGUGUGGUAGGGGUAUGCGGAACUAUCGGUGGAGCGGUGAAAUGCGUUGAUAUCGAUAGGAACUCCGGUGGCGAAGGCGGCAUACUGGACCACCACUGACGCUGAUGCGCGAAAGCCAGGGGAGCAAACGGG